RNAcentral lists this long non-coding RNA (353 nucleotides) under Homo sapiens (human). RNAcentral's name for it is "non-protein coding lnc-CHCHD6-1:1". Lineage: Eukaryota; Metazoa; Chordata; Mammalia; Primates; Hominidae. The record is from RNAcentral.
CCUCUUAACAGCCCUAUAAAGUGGAGAUUAAUGUCUCCAUCUCACAGAUGAGGAAAGCAAGGAUGAGGAACAGAAUGUGAUUUGUCCAAAGUCACAAAAAUGUUGCUUCAUCAGCCAUCCUCUGAUCAUGAGGAGAGACUGCAGAAGAUGAAAUUAAUGCCCUGCCUGAAAGCAAGCAUGAGAAAAAUAAGGAAACCGGGUCUCUGGGAAUGUCAUUCAGCCACUGGAUCAGACUCACCUGACAGCUGCUCUAUCUUUGGACUUUUGUGGUCCAUUGAAUUCCCUUAAUUAUGUAAGCCAGCUUGAGUUGCAUUUUUCUGUUACUUGCAACCAAAGCAUCUUAACAAAUAAAU